RNAcentral lists this ribosomal RNA (382 nucleotides) under uncultured eukaryote. Its description in RNAcentral is "partial 18S ribosomal RNA". It matches the Rfam family "Eukaryotic small subunit ribosomal RNA", at positions 592 to 976 of the family's 1831-position model. The record is from RNAcentral.
UGUAAGCGUAUACCAAAGUUGUUGCAGUUAAAACGCUCGUAGUCGGAAUUUGGCAGUUCCGGAUGUGUGCACGUCGUGUGCGCACUUCGCGGGGAUUGCUUUUGUGGUCUUGCGUAGGAUGAGGCACUUUCAUUAGUGAACGUCCUCACGCAACCACUCUUUACUGUGAGAAAAUCAGAGUGCUCAAAGCAGGCAUUUGCCGUGAAUGUAUUAGCAUGGAAUAAUAGAACAGGACUCGGUUCUAUUUUGUUGGUUUGUUGGGACUGAGUAAUGAUUAAGAGGGACAGUUGGGGGCAUUUGUAUUCCGGCGCUAGAGGUGAAAUUCUUAGAUUGCCGGAAGACAAACUGCUGCGAAAGCGUCUGCCAAGGAUGUUUUCAUUGA